UCCCUGGUGGCUUAGAGGUUAAAAGCGCCUGCAUGCAAUACAGGAGACCUUGGUUCAAUCCCCAGGUCAGGAA
This 73-nucleotide transfer RNA is filed under the name Ovis aries (sheep). It matches the Rfam family "tRNA". Rfam says of the family: Transfer RNA (tRNA) molecules are approximately 80 nucleotides in length. The record is from Rfam by way of RNAcentral. Lineage: Eukaryota; Metazoa; Chordata; Mammalia; Artiodactyla; Bovidae.